This 73-nucleotide transfer RNA is filed under the name Felis catus (domestic cat). It matches the Rfam family "tRNA". Rfam says of the family: Transfer RNA (tRNA) molecules are approximately 80 nucleotides in length. Their secondary structure includes four short double-helical elements and three loops (D, anti-codon, and T loops). The record is from Rfam by way of RNAcentral. RNAcentral also lists the same sequence under 1 other name. Lineage: Eukaryota; Metazoa; Chordata; Mammalia; Carnivora; Felidae.
UCCUGGCUGGCUCAGUUGGUAGAGCAUGAGACUCUUGAUCUCAGGGUCUUGAGUUCAAGUCCCAUGAUGGGUA